GAUGAACAAAGCUUUACUUUUCGUACUUGUUCUUGGACUGUUGUUGUGUGCGCAUAAUACAGAUGCGUGGAGACGGCGACGAUGUACAGACAACGACUUUGCACCUGCAUCAGUGAAGAAUUUAAAUGAAGAUAACAAGGAUCGUACGUCUCUCGACUAUAUUGACGACAAUAAUGACGACGAACUAUUUAGUUGCAAAUUCUAGAAACGUUAAAGUAAGAACAACAUUUAUUGGAAUAAAUGAUUUCAAUCUG
Molecule: non-coding RNA, 254 nt
Organism: Ciona intestinalis (vase tunicate)
Lineage: Eukaryota; Metazoa; Chordata; Ascidiacea; Phlebobranchia; Cionidae
Source: RefSeq, a predicted model, not a curated record